Molecule: long non-coding RNA, 186 nt
Organism: Thalassophryne amazonica
Lineage: Eukaryota; Metazoa; Chordata; Actinopteri; Batrachoidiformes; Batrachoididae
Exons: 3
Source: RefSeq, a predicted model, not a curated record
GUUCCUGGUCCAUCUGGGAUAACAUUUCCACUUGUUGUCAUUUGCACAACCUGGCAAGGAUAUAUUUGCCGAGCACUUUUGUUUGGGUACCCCCCUUUCUUUUAGGCAAAAUUUUAGGUAACACACUAUUAGCUCUGUGCUUCCCCAAAACCCACCUGAAUUUUAUUUUAAGAGAAACUACUCAAA